This is a long non-coding RNA of Ictalurus punctatus (channel catfish), 1604 nucleotides long. RefSeq lists it as uncharacterized. The transcript has 4 exons. Lineage: Eukaryota; Metazoa; Chordata; Actinopteri; Siluriformes; Ictaluridae. The record is from RefSeq and is a predicted model, not a curated record.
UCUGCCAUCAUCACUUCUAUUGUCACAUUGGAUUCUGUGGGUUGGACUGUGAAUCAUCUCAAGUUAUGAUCAGACUCUAAGCAUUCAAAGGAACAACACUUGACUCAGGCCCCUCAGAAUGAAAUAGUGGACAACAGGUAAAUUCUCAGUGGACAACUUCUAGGAUAGCAGGAAUGUAGGGAUUAUAUUUGUUGUGGUGAAUACGGCAGGACAAGAUGCAAAGAAGAAGACCACCCAUCUGUCUUAUUGUCACAGUUGUUAUUCUAUCAAUGGCUCUGACUUUCCUGAAUGGUAAGUGCUAUUUGUUGGGGUGGUUUGGGUGAUUGAAGCAACUAAAGAUACUUCUUUUUUUUUUUCAUUUUAUUAUUGUUUAUUUAUUUAUUCAUUCAUUUAUUAUAAUUUUUUUUUACAAUUUAUUAAACGUUAAACAGUUUGGACAACAUCCAAUACUUUCAAAAGAAAGCACUAUUAGAUUACUUCAAAUAGGAGCACUUGAUUUACAAUAUAUUCAUAAGUGCUUCUCGUUGAGGCAGUCUCAUCUGUGUAUUUGCCUUUACCGUCUUCUGUGACUGGUGCAAUGUGUCUCUGGAUGUUACCCCAAUUGUAUCACAUAUACUUCAGUUUUAAUGUCAUUUUCUGCAAGCUUUGGUACCUUUCAGUGACGGCAAUAAUAGGAAAUGUUGAAACCGUAAUAUUGUUUCACUUCAUAAAGAUUUAGUUAAACUGUUCCCAGUGUAUUUGGUGUAAUUUAUUCUGUCUACUGUUUUUUCUUAUAUUCACAUGAACUGUUUAACGAUCAUCAGCGCUUUUGUCCCUUUGGAUUUCGAUGUGAGUUGGAUGCGAACCAUGUAGACUCUACAUCAUCACAAUCAAAACACUUGGAAGAAUUGUGUUCAUCCCUCCAGGAAAUUGAUGCUUCCUAAAUUUGAAAAUGGCACCGAGGUAUGAUUCAUGCUGGAGGAGAAAAGUCAAGAGCCAGCAAAGUACUUGCAAAAGAUACAGAAGAAAGCUAGACACACGAGGAGUAGAGAAUGCAGAAUCAAAGUGGAGGCCAGGUGACUAUUGCACCGAAGGAAUACCUUGUCUUCCUGAACAUAUUACAUUUACACCAGUUAUGAGUCAGUUCUGAGAUUUUGGCAGUUUGCUUUAAUACAGCUAAAAUACUGUCUUCCUUGUCUAAAUGGCUGCAUUACAAGAAAGUGAUCAUUUUCUGAAAUUGAAAGACACAUGGAGCUGAGUGAUAUUAAUGAUAGACUCUAACUGAUUAUCAUCCUCGUUACUAAUAAGCUGUUUUCCCAAUGUCUAUGUCCUAUUUAAGAGCAAAUAAUAUUGUUAGAUUAUUGAUGUUGAAAUAUCCAGUGAAAAAUAUGUAGAUUUGCUUUUGUCUGCAUUAUGUAACCCCAAUUUUCACCAUGUAAAUAUCAAAACAUAUUUAAAAUGUCUUGGAAGUUUGUUUUUGUCAUGCACAAGCAUAUCAAAUACAUUACAAUGAGGACCAUGUAUUUGAGUUUCUUUAUGAUUUUUUUUAAAGAAACCAUUAAGUUUGGAUGAGAAAGUGUUGGAGAUCUUUAUUUGUGCUGUCUGAGCUCACCAUGAGAUGCACA